ACCGACACAGGUAGAUGAGGAGAGAAUCCUAAGGCCAACGGGAGAAGGGUUGUUAAGGAACUCGGCAAGUUAACCCCGUAACUUCGGAAUAAGGGGAGCCUCGCAAGAGGCCGCAGUGAAUAGGCCCAAGCAACUGUUUACCAAAAACACAGGUCUAUGCUAAAUCGAAAGAUGACGUAUAUGGGCUGACGCCUGCCCGGUGCUGGAAGGUUAAGAGGAGGGCUUAGGGGAAACCCGAAGGCCCGAAUUGAAGCCCCAGUAAACGGCGGCCGUA
This 274-nucleotide ribosomal RNA is filed under the name Klebsiella oxytoca. RNAcentral's name for it is "partial 23S ribosomal RNA". It matches the Rfam family "Bacterial large subunit ribosomal RNA", at positions 1653 to 1938 of the family's 2925-position model. Lineage: Bacteria; Pseudomonadati; Pseudomonadota; Gammaproteobacteria; Enterobacterales; Enterobacteriaceae. The record is from RNAcentral.